GCAUAUGUGAUGUGAGUUUGAACAGAAGCUAUCACAUGGUUGUUAGACAAUAUUCCCUUUCACACAUACCCACAUGCGUGCGCGCACACACAUGCACACCCACAGCCAUGUUUCUUCGCUCCCCAGAUGUGACAAAUCUUGAUCUACACAAAUGACACCAAGUAGGAAAAGAGAAGGACAUCUUGACAUAGAAACUGCCUUCUGUCCUAUCUGAGAACUUCAUCAUGAAAUGUAAAACUUGUCAUUUAUUAGCCAUUUUUAACGUGCAGGAUGUUAUAAAAAUGCAAAAUAUGGUCUUCUCCAAAAAAGAGAACAAAUAGUAAACAGAAAUAAAGAUAUGUAGGAAGAGAUAGGUACAUUUCCAUCCAUGCAAUUUUUCUUUAAUCUCCCGGGUAACAGUUUUAUGAACUAUUUCUGGGGGUGGGAUUCCUCCCUAUAGUAGUUGUCUGUUACUGCAUAACACAUUACCCCCAAACUUGGUGACAUAAACAACAAACAUUUAUUAGCUCAGUUUUGAGGGUCAGGAAUUCGGAAGUGCCUUAGCUGCGUGGUUUUCACUCAAGGUCUCUCAUGAAGUUGCAAACAAGAUGCAGGCGGGGCCGCUGGCGGAGGCCGGUGGUGGCUGAUGGCUUGACUGGAGCUGAGGAUCCACUUCUAAGCUCAGUCGCGUGGUUGCUGGCAGGAGCCUCAGUUCUUCUCUGAUUCUUGGCCAGAACAACAGUUCCUUGCCACCUGGGCGCCUCCACAGGGCUGCUUGAGUAGCCUCAGAACAUGUCAGGUGGCUUCCUGCAGGGAGACUCACUAUUGCGAGGUGAUUGUUUGUCAUCAAAAGAUGCUUCCUCUUCUGGGAACUCCCAAGUGAAAAAGAACUGGCGCUGCGGUCCAGAGUCUCCUGACGCCUCCAGCUGCGGCUGAGGAACUUCCCGUCUCUACAGGGGCACACGGGUCAGUCCGCUCUGGCCUGUGGUGAUCUUCGUUAUUCCCUAUUUUCUCACAUUCAGAACCACUGGGGAGAAAAUUGUCCACAGACAGGUGAGUGAGCCGCAGGUGACGGAGAGAGAGACGGAAUCAAGCUGAGUCACGAGCUCUGAGAAACAAGGCACCUCAUCAGCUCAUUUCUAAGACUCUCCGCACAUGGUCUGCGAUCAGAAAAUACACGGUUUUCAUGGAUUUCAAAACCUCAAAAGACAGCGUGGUGGUAAAAGGAAGUUGGAUCUCAAAUCCGCCUGGAUUUAAAUCCUGGUGUCCUUACUGCUGGAUGUCCUUGAGCAAAUCACUUCCACAGGCUGAGCCUCAGUUUCUUCAUCCAAAAAAAAAGUCUCAUAAUAUCUCCCUUGCAGUUUUGUGGUGGCAAUUAAAUGGGCUGUGCUCGGGAUGGGAAGAGCUCAGUGGGCUGUCUGGCAUUUGGUAGUUACAGAUAGUUAAUGAAUGCUCCUUUCUUCCCACAAGAGGCCUCUGUGCCUUGACUCUUUGGUCAAAAGGCCCUCAAGGGCACAUCAAACGGCAGGAGGAGAGCUGCGGGCCAGCACUGAGCACUUCCACAGAGACACGCCACGCCACGUGCAAAGCAGGAGAGAGGUGGGAACCACGCAAGUUAACUGCGGACACGUUGCAAGUGAUAUGGACCAUGAUAUCAGUUUCUCCACAUUAAACCCAGCAUAUGUGGGGUUAAAACCGAAACACUCAUUCCCUGCUUACUCUCUGGCUUCCUGACUCCAGAAUCCACUAUCCUCCAUGGAGACAGACACCGUCAAGGACAAGCACCUGGACUAUCUCCUCCCACAAAGAGAUAUGGGCUGGUGGGAAAGCUGCUGACCAGCAAGGUCAUGAGCUCCCUCCUCUCUGCAAGUGUCUCAAGGCCAAAGACAGGCUGGUGGUAAAGCUCCGACCAGCAAGGCCAUAUGCUCCCCCUUCCCUACCUAAAACCCUUCCUUUUAGCUUUUCGGGGAGUUUGGGAUUUCAGCGUUAGCUGCCCUCUCUCCUUGCUCAGCGCUGUGCAAAAAUAAAAUUCCUACUUUCUUCCACCACACCCAGUGUCAGAGAUUGGCUUGCUGCGCAACGG
This 2062-nucleotide long non-coding RNA is filed under the name Equus caballus (horse). Its description in RNAcentral is "lncRNA (ENSECAG00000054322.1)". Lineage: Eukaryota; Metazoa; Chordata; Mammalia; Perissodactyla; Equidae. The record is from RNAcentral.